This 493-nucleotide ribosomal RNA is filed under the name uncultured bacterium. RNAcentral's name for it is "partial 16S ribosomal RNA". It matches the Rfam family "Bacterial small subunit ribosomal RNA", at positions 29 to 523 of the family's 1533-position model. The record is from RNAcentral.
AUUGAACGCUGGCGGCAUGCUUUACACAUGCAAGUCGAACGGUAACAGGUUAAGCUGACGAGUGGCGAACGGGUGAGUAAUGCAUCGGAACGUGCCCGAUCGUGGGGGAUAACGCAGCGAAAGCUGCGCUAAUACCGCAUACGAUCUGAGGAUGAAAGCGGGGGACCGUAAGGCCUCGCGCGAUCGGAGCGGCCGAUGUCAGAUUAGGUAGUUGGUGGGGUAAAGGCUCACCAAGCCGACGAUCUGUAGCUGGUCUGAGAGGACGACCAGCCACACAGGGACUGAGACACGGCCCAGACUCCUACGGGAGGCAGCAGUGGGGAAUUUUGGACAAUGGGCGAAAGCCUGAUCCAGCAAUGCCGCGUGCAGGAAGAAGGCCUUCGGGUUGUAAACUGCUUUUGUAGGGCGCGAAAAGGCUCUCUCUAAUACAGGGGGCUCAUGACGGUACCGUAAGAAUAAGCACCGGCUAACUACGUGCCAGCCGCCGCGGUAA